RNAcentral lists this ribosomal RNA (874 nucleotides) under Pseudocercospora broussonetiae. RNAcentral describes it as "eukaryotic LSU rRNA". It matches the Rfam family "Eukaryotic large subunit ribosomal RNA", at positions 34 to 938 of the family's 3401-position model. Lineage: Eukaryota; Fungi; Ascomycota; Dothideomycetes; Mycosphaerellales; Mycosphaerellaceae. The record is from RNAcentral.
CUAGCAUAUCAAUAAGCGGAGGAAAAGAAACCAACAGGGAUUGCCCUAGUAACGGCGAGUGAAGCGGCAACAGCUCAAAUUUGAAAUCUGGCGCAAGCCCGAGUUGUAAUUUGUAGAGGAUGCUUCUGGGUAGCGACCGAUCUAAGUUCCUUGGAACAGGACGUCAUAGAGGGUGAGAAUCCCGUAUGUGACCGGCCCGCACCCUUUACGUAGCUCCUUCGACGAGUCGAGUUGUUUGGGAAUGCAGCUCUAAAUGGGAGGUAAAUUUCUUCUAAAGCUAAAUACCGGCCAGAGACCGAUAGCGCACAAGUAGAGUGAUCGAAAGAUGAAAAGUACUUUGGAAAGAGAGUUAAAAAGCACGUGAAAUUGUUGAAAGGGAAGCGCCUGCAACCAGACUUCGCGGCAGUGUUCCGCCGGUCUUCUGACCGGUUCAUUCUCUGUCGCGAGGCCAUCAUCGUCUGGGCCCGCCGGAUAAGACCUGAGGAAUGUGGCUCCCCCUCGGGGGAGUGUUAUAGCCUCUGGUGAUGCGGCGUGGCUCGGGCGAGGUCCGCGCUUCGGCAAGGAUGAUGGCGUAAUGGUUGUCGGCGGCCCGUCUUGAAACACGGACCAAGGAGUCUAACAUCUAUGCGAGUGUUCGGGUGUCAAACCCCUACGCGUAAUGAAAGUGAACGGAGGUGGGAACCGCAAGGUGCACCAUCGACCGAUCCUGAUGUCCUCGGAUGGAUUUGAGUAAGAGCAUAGCUGUUGGGACCCGAAAGAUGGUGAACUAUGCCUGAAUAGGGUGAAGCCAGAGGAAACUCUGGUGGAGGCUCGCAGCGGUUCUGACGUGCAAAUCGAUCGUCAAAUUUGGGUAUAGGUGCGAAAGACUAAUCGA